UACGUAGGUGGCAAGCGUUGUCCGGAGUUAUUGGGCGUAAAGCGCGCGCAGGCGGUCCUUUAAGUCUGAUGUGAAAGCCCACGGCUCAACCGUGGAGGGUCAUUGGAGACUGGGGGACUUGAGUACAGAAGAGGAAAGCGGAAUUCCACGUGUAGCGGUGAAAUGCGUAGAGAGGUGGAGGAACACCAAUGGCGAAGGCGGCUUUCUGGUCUGUAACUGACACUGAGGCGCGAAAGCGUGGGGAGCGAACAGG
RNAcentral lists this unclassified non-coding RNA (253 nucleotides) under uncultured Caryophanales bacterium. Its description in RNAcentral is "uncultured Bacillales bacterium contains 16S-23S intergenic spacer region". It matches the Rfam family "Bacterial small subunit ribosomal RNA", at positions 524 to 776 of the family's 1533-position model. Lineage: Bacteria; Bacillati; Bacillota; Bacilli; Caryophanales. The record is from RNAcentral.